Long non-coding RNA from Notothenia coriiceps (black rockcod), 252 nucleotides. RefSeq lists it as uncharacterized. The transcript is spliced from 3 exons. The record is from RefSeq and is a predicted model, not a curated record. Lineage: Eukaryota; Metazoa; Chordata; Actinopteri; Perciformes; Nototheniidae.
CAGGAUAAACACCAUGAUGCUGCUAAUGAAAUCAUCGAGACCAUUCGGUGGGUGUGUGAGGAGAUCCCAGACCUCAAACUCGCCAUGGAAAACUACGUACUCAUUGACUACGACACAAAAUGCUUCGAGAGUAUGCAGAGACUUUGUGACAAGUACAACAGGGCCAUCGACAGCUUCCACCAGCUGGUGAGUCCGUAUGUGUGAAAGGCCUUCAGUGCUCUGUAGGUGAAACAUUAGUCACUGAAAGUGAAC